This 301-nucleotide ribosomal RNA is filed under the name uncultured bacterium. Its description in RNAcentral is "partial 16S ribosomal RNA". It matches the Rfam family "Bacterial small subunit ribosomal RNA", at positions 509 to 807 of the family's 1533-position model. The record is from RNAcentral.
CAGCCGCCACGGUAAUACGAAGGGGGCUAGCGUUGUUCGGAUUUACUGGGCGUAAAGGGCGCGUAGGCGGACUGAUAAGUCAGGGGUGAAAUCCCAAGGCUCAACCUUGGAACUGCCUUUGAUACUGUUUGUCUUGAGUUCGAGAGAGGUAAGUGGAACUGCGAGUGUAGAGGUGAAAUUCGUAGAUAUUCGCAAGAACACCAGUGGCGAAGGCGGCUUACUGGCUCGAAACUGACGCUGAGGCGCGAAAGCGUGGGGAGCAAACAGGAUUAGAUACCCCGGUAGUCCCUGUCUCUUAUAC